This 727-nucleotide ribosomal RNA is filed under the name uncultured bacterium. RNAcentral's name for it is "bacterial SSU rRNA". It matches the Rfam family "Bacterial small subunit ribosomal RNA", at positions 8 to 748 of the family's 1533-position model. The record is from RNAcentral.
AGAGUUUGAUCAUGGCUCAGGACGAACGCUGGCGGCGUGCUUAACACAUGCAAGUCGAGCGGUAAGGCCCUUUCGGGGGUACACGAGCGGCGAACGGGUGAGUAACACGUGGGUGACCUGCCCUCAGCUCUGGGAUAAGCCCGGGAAACUGGGUCUAAUACCGGAUAUUCACUUCUCAUCGCAUGGUGGGUGGUGGAAAGUUUUUUCGGCUGGGGAUGGGCCCGCGGCCUAUCAGCUUGUUGGUGGGGUGAUGGCCUACCAAGGCGACGACGGGUAGCCGGCCUGAGAGGGCGACCGGCCACACUGGGACUGAGACACGGCCCAGACUCCUACGGGAGGCAGCAGUGGGGAAUAUUGCGCAAUGGGCGGAAGCCUGACGCAGCGACGCCGCGUGGGGGAUGACGGCCUUCGGGUUGUAAACCUCUUUCGACCGGGACGAAGAGUGAUUGACGGUACCGGUAGAAGAAGCACCGGCCAACUACGUGCCAGCAGCCGCGGUAACACGUAGGGUGCGAGCGUUGUCCGGAAUUAUUGGGCGUAAAGAGCUCGUAGGCGGUGUGUCGCGUCGGCCGUGAAAACCUGGGGCUUAACUCUGGGCUUGCGGUCGAUACGGGCAUCACUGGAGUUCGGCAGGGGAGACUGGAAUUCCUGGUGUAGCGGUGAAAUGCGCAGAUAUCAGGAGGAACACCGGUGGCGAAGGCGGGUCUCUGGGCCGAUACUGACGCUG